UACGUAGGUGACAAGCGUUGUCCGGAUUUACUGGGCGUAAAGAGCGCGCAGGCGGUCGAUCAAGUCGAGUGUGAAAGCCCCCGGCUCAACUGGGGAGGGUCAUUCGAUACUGAUCGACUCGAAGGCAGGAGAGGGUAGUGGAAUUCCCGGUGUAGUGGUGAAAUGCGUAGAUAUCGGGAGGAACACCAGUGGCGAAGGCGACUACCUGGCCUGUUCUUGACGCUGAGGCGCGGAAGCUAGGGGAGCAAACGGG
RNAcentral lists this ribosomal RNA (253 nucleotides) under uncultured bacterium. RNAcentral's name for it is "partial 16S ribosomal RNA". It matches the Rfam family "Bacterial small subunit ribosomal RNA", at positions 524 to 776 of the family's 1533-position model. The record is from RNAcentral.